GAAAUGCGAUACUUGGUGUGAAUUGCAGAAUCCCGUGAACCAUCGAGUCUUUGAACGCAAGUUGCGCCCGAAGCCAUUAGGCCGAGGGCACGCAAUAACA
This 100-nucleotide unclassified non-coding RNA is filed under the name uncultured fungus. RNAcentral's name for it is "sequence contains ITS1". It matches the Rfam family "5.8S ribosomal RNA", at positions 50 to 140 of the family's 154-position model. Rfam says of the family: 5.8S ribosomal RNA (5.8S rRNA) is a component of the large subunit of the eukaryotic ribosome. It is transcribed by RNA polymerase I as part of the 45S precursor that also contains 18S and 28S rRNA. Lineage: Eukaryota; Fungi. The record is from RNAcentral.